ACAUAGAAAAUGGAGGACCCAGCCAGAGCAAAUCCAGCAAGUUCUUUCAUUCUUUAUCGCAGAUCUGCAAUCCGAAUCUCUAACACAUGCUCCUCAUCUACAGAAAAGCUGAGCAGAAUGUGUCUUCAUACGGUUCUCUAAACGUGCACUCCUCGACUACGAUCGAAGAUCAUAAUGUGUUCUCCAUGCAGUUCUCUCAACACACACUCCUCGGCCAUGGCUGAGAAUCGAUAC
This 234-nucleotide long non-coding RNA is filed under the name Elaeis guineensis (African oil palm). RNAcentral's name for it is "long non-coding RNA (EGUI_LNC027628)". Lineage: Eukaryota; Viridiplantae; Streptophyta; Magnoliopsida; Arecales; Arecaceae. The record is from RNAcentral.